This 453-nucleotide ribosomal RNA is filed under the name uncultured bacterium. Its description in RNAcentral is "bacterial SSU rRNA". It matches the Rfam family "Bacterial small subunit ribosomal RNA", at positions 29 to 519 of the family's 1533-position model. The record is from RNAcentral.
AACGAACGCUGGCGGCAUGCCUAACACAUGCAAGUCGAACGAAGCCUUCGGGCUUAGUGGCGCACGGGUGCGUAACACGUGGGAAUCUGCCCUUUGGUUCGGAAUAACAGUUAGAAAUGACUGCUAAUACCGGAUAAUGACGUAAGUCCAAAGAUUUAUCGCCGAAGGAUGAGCCCGCGUAGGAUUAGGUAGUUGGUGGGGUAAUGGCCCACCAAGCCGACGAUCCUUAGCUGGUCUGAGAGGAUGAUCAGCCACACUGGGACUGAGACACGGCCCAGACUCCUACGGGAGGCAGCAGUGGGGAAUAUUGGACAAUGGGCGAAAGCCUGAUCCAGCAAUGCCGCGUGAGUGAUGAAGGCCUUAGGGUUGUAAAGCUCUUUCGGGAGGGAAGAAGGCGCAAGCCUGACGGUACCUCGCAAGAAAGCACCGGCUAACUCUGUGCCAGCAGCCGCG